GCGACCCCAGGUCAGGCGGGAUUA
RNAcentral lists this non-coding RNA (24 nucleotides) under Arabidopsis thaliana (thale cress). RNAcentral also lists the same sequence under 45 other names. Lineage: Eukaryota; Viridiplantae; Streptophyta; Magnoliopsida; Brassicales; Brassicaceae. The record is from RNAcentral.